GAUGAACGCUGGCGGCGUGCCUAAUACAUGCAAGUCGAGCGAACGGACGAGAAGCUUGCUUCUCUGAUGUUAGCGGCGGACGGGUGAGUAACACGUGGAUAACCUACCUAUAAGACUGGGAUAACUUCGGGAAACCGGAGCUAAUACCGGAUAAUAUUUUGAACCGCAUGGUUCAAAAGUGAAAGACGGUCUUGCUGUCUCUUAUAGAUGGAUCCGCGCUGCAUUAGCUAGUUGGUAAGGUAACGGCUUACCAAGGCAACGAUGCAUAGCCGACCUGAGAGGGUGAUCGGCCACACUGGAAGUGAGACACGGACAAGACAACUACGGGAGGCAGCAGUAGGGAAUCUUCCGCAAUGGGCGAAAGCCUGACGGAGCAACGCCGCGUGAGUGAUGAAGGUCUGCGGAUCGUAAAACUCUGUUAUUAGGGAAGAACAUAUGUGUAAGUAACUGUGCACAGCUUGACGGUACCUAAUAAGAAAGCAACGGCUAACUACGUG
Molecule: ribosomal RNA, 497 nt
Filed under: uncultured bacterium
Lineage: Bacteria
Description: partial 16S ribosomal RNA
Rfam family: Bacterial small subunit ribosomal RNA
Source: RNAcentral